CACCUCCCCCACCUUGACACUUUGUCAAUAUUGUCUCUCAUUUCUUCCAUCUCUUUCCCCUAUUCCCUUACCUCUAUCUAUCACCAGCUUUUCUAUUUCCUUUUAUUCUAUUUUUCUUCACAUAUAAUGCCGGAGGACAUGAAUCUUUCGAUAAAUGGUCAGUCUCAGGUCCCUCCAGGUUUUAGAUUUCAUCCCACAGAAGAGGAGCUUCUUCACUACUACCUCAGGAAGAAGGUAGCCUAUGAGAAGAUAGAUCUCGAUGUCAUUCGUGAGGUUGAUCUUAACAAGCUUGAGCCCUGGGAUAUUCAAGAGAAAUGCAAAAUAGGAUCCACCCCACAGAAUGAUUGGUACUUCUUUAGUCACAAGGACAAGAAAUACCCAACCGGGACUAGAACUAACCGAGCGACGGCAGCCGGAUUCUGGAAAGCCACUGGCCGUGAUAAGAUCAUCUACAGCGGCUUUAAAAGAAUUGGUUUGAGGAAGACUCUAGUGUUUUACAAGGGGCGAGCUCCACAUGGCCAAAAAUCUGAUUGGAUCAUGCAUGAAUAUAGGCUUGAUGAUAGCUUUCAUGACAGCACUGUAAGCCAUUUUCCUUUUUCAUAUAUGGAAUUCUUGUUUCUAAGCUUUUUGGUUUUCAUAUCAGUCUUCCCUUGAGAAUUACAUUGAAUAACUAUUUCUGAUGAAUUCAGGUUUCCAAUCCAAUCGAAGAAGCAAUCCCUGAGGAGGGGUGGGUGGUUUGCCGUGUAUUUAGAAAGAAGAACUAUCAAAAAACCCUAGAGUGUACUAAAGGUUCAUCGAGCUCGAUGGACUCGAAGACCCAGAUCCUUAGUUCUGGCAACGAUGGAGUUCUUGAUCAAAUACUUCUCUAUAUGGGUAGGACUUGCAAGAUGGAGAAUGAAUCAUUUAGCCACAUGAAUCUAUCCAACAACAGCAACAAUAACAGCGUUAGAUUUCUCUCAUCUAACAACACAGGCAUCGGUGAAGGGCUUCAUGAAGGAUUUAUGCAUCUUCCAAGGCUAGAUAGUCCAACCCUUCCUCCGGUUACAAUCAACAGCCCCCCCUUUGAUGAAGAUAAUAAUUUCAGAUCUUGCUAUCCGUCGUAUGAUGAGAUGCUCAUAGAGAAUAACAAACCUUCCUCCCCCACCACCACCAACAACAAUAAUCACCACCACAACCAGCGCUACCACCUCCCCCCCAAUGGCUUUGACAUGACCUCGAUACACGAAAACAACAAAUCCGGGCUUAAUGACUGGGCUAUCUUGGAUCGUCUGGUGGCAUCACAGCUGAAUGGUCAGGUAGAGACAUCGAAGCAACUAUCUUGCUUUAGUGACUCAAAUGGGAGUUUUGGUCUGCCUCCUGAUGAUGACAUGCAAUUAUCACAGCUACAUGGGCACUCGAAUAGAUCAAGUCAAGGAAAUUCUCAGGUCUACAGUAGCGAGAAUGAUAUAUGGACCUUCACUAAAUCAUCGUCCCCAUCGUCAUCAGACCCAUUAUGCCACUUGUCCGUAUAACCCAAGUGUCUAAAUAUACCAUAACAACAUAGAAUCUCCUAUAGUCCUUCUAGGUAUGUAUCAGUAUACGUUAUAUCAUAUAUAUAGUCUUUGUCCAUAUAUAUAUAUAUAGCACAUGUAUUGGAUAAAUAAUAAAAAUAAUCAAGUGAUAUUUGAGAUAGGUUGGCAUUGUAAAACAUUAUCAUGUUAUUUUCAUUAAUAACGAUGUCGUCCAUGCCCAAAUUUUUAUUUAAGAGACG
RNAcentral lists this unclassified non-coding RNA (1750 nucleotides) under Hevea brasiliensis (rubber tree). Lineage: Eukaryota; Viridiplantae; Streptophyta; Magnoliopsida; Malpighiales; Euphorbiaceae. The record is from RNAcentral.